AGAGAAUCGUGAAUGUGUGCAAAACUGUGUUUUCUGGGAUUUGAGUCUCAAAAAUAUCUAUCAUCUAAGAAGCUAUUGAUGUUUGGAUUUAGAGCAUAUACUCAGAAACUGACAUUCAGAUAAACCACAUAUCUUGCAGGCACUGUUAUUGCUGCAAUUCCUUGCUGUCAUUCAGAGGAUGAUUAUUGUUCUUUUAACAAACAGAAGCAAUUCCUCUUCCAACACGACCCAAUUUUGUGGGAGACCUGGUUUAUAGAGAGGAAAAACUUUGACCGAUGACAAGUAGUUCAUUCCCAAAUAAAUGAGAGUUGACUAAUUACUAUGAGAGUUUACUCAUUUUCUAAUUUACUCAAAAGAUAGUUGGGGUGGAAUGUGAAAUCAUGCAAUUUGGCAUGAUGCCUUAUUUCAUUGAACUUUUUUAUGAUUUGAUUUAAUCCUGUUUCCUACAACAAAACUAAGAAGAAUUAAUUUAGUAUAGGAGUAGAAGAAACAACCAUUUGACAUGUUUUUCCUAAGGGACCCAGUUUUCUUAUGCCAAGAUUUAGAAUUUGUUAUAUGCUUGGUUUGCUGCAACUGUGCUUUUGCUAGUUUCAGGUUUUAUGAUAUAACUUUAGGGAAAUAUGAAAAAUUUUGAGAAUAAACUCAAAAUAACUGAGGUGGUGGUAAUUUAAAGUUUCACUUUUUACUCAUAUUUGGCAGCAAGAUGAAAGUUUGUGCUGUGUUAGUAAUUAAGAUACUGUCACAAGGAGCUGUUAAAACCUGACUAAAUUUGAAUAAAGAGAAGGAUGAUGAUGAUGACUUCAUCCUAAUCCUAAUCUUAUGUAUUUUGUCAUCAUUAGACUUCAGUCACAUGCAUAGAAAAUGCCCAGACUAAAAAGAAGGAAUUUAGCUCUAAUCUUCCAUCAAGUAUCAUUUCUUCCUUCCAGGCUCAGAAUAUAAAACAUCUCUCCAUUAUACACACAUAAGAUACAUAAAAAGAAAAAUAUCCUUCUGCCUUUAAUAAAUGAUCCUCUAAAUAGUCUCUGAGUUCAGUGACAAACUCGUGUUUCUGAAUUGUUCAUUCAAGUGAAGUAAGGCACUGUUGUUUUUCUACCACUCAUUCCCUUCAUUGAUACAUCCCCCAGGGUCCACAGCCUGAAAAGUAAUCUCUUUAUAACAAACAAACAACAAACAAAGGCAAUCACUCUGUCAUCACAGGUAUUCCCUCUACUACUAAAUGAGUAGAAACUGAAGAACUGCACAUGAACUUGAGACUAUUACUUGUAAUAUUGAUGUUGUGUAAAUUUCAGUCUUCAUAGUCCAGAUAACCUUAAGUUUCAAAGGGCAUGCUGGUCAUUAAAAAAAAAAAAAAAAAAAAAAGAUUUAAUGUAAAAUGACAUACUACAUAGUGCAUGAACAUGUGGCAAAGUAAUUUGGGUCUAUCCUUACUAGUCAAUGAGAGACUAAAUUUGGGGAGAUCAGAUAUGAGUGUUUUAAGUUAAUUCUCAACUGGGAUGAAGACAUCUCUAUGUUAGGAUACAUGGACGGUUGUCCAUAUUCCUUGCAACAUAUGCUCCUGGUAGCUAGACUCCUUAGUGUGUUCUUUCCACCAAAGUAGUGGGGAUAUGUUCAUAUAAUCUGCUAUUGAAUUGUACAAACUUUUACAUUUUCAGAGUUUGAGGGAACCCAAAUAGGAAAGUGAAUUUAGUCAUUUUCCUCUGCUGGUGUUCAAGUCAAAUUUUAAACUCAGAUACUCUCAGAUAUGUUCUACAGUCAGUAAAAAGUGCAUUUUACAUAGUGUUUCCCUUUAGUUUUGCCUACUCUCUUUGAUUUUGUACAAUCUAGAAUGUAACUUGUGUAGGUGAUGGAGGCGCUCUUUUUUUUUUCUUAGAAUACUUAACAAUUACAUAUUUGGUUUUGCUUUGACUAGCAAUAGGAAAAUAGACAAAUACAAGUGUAAAAAUGAGAAAUUUUAAACUUGAAUUAUAAUUUGUGUUUUAUAGUCGUUUCAUAAGUCUGUUGCUCUCUAUGAGUAUGCUCUCUAUAUAUCCUGUAAAAAUAAAUUUAUAUGUUACAUAGAAAUUCAAGAAAUUAAAUUAUUUAUUAAGCUACAAAUGUUUCUUCUGGUUUCUACCUGAUCAUAGAUGAAAAUAAAUUAAAUAAUGUGUUGUUGGAACCUAUGUAAGUACCUUCAUUAAUUUGACAACUCUUGUUAUACUUUUCUUUCCUUCUCUGUUUAUGUCUGUAUAAGCUUAUAUUUCGUAGACUUAAUUCCUAUUAUGAUUAUGACGAAAGGAACUUAAGAAAUGGUCAUUGGCUGAACAAAAAGUAAAACCUUGUUAAAAAAUCAAGUCCAAUUAUAAUCCCUCUCUUUUUCUUCACUACUGGAUUUGAAUCACAAACUCAAGCUCUUAAAAGUCAUUAUCAGGUUAAUAAUCUUUUCAAAGUUAAAUUCUACAUCUUCUCCUUCAUCCAUGUCAUAAUAUUCUUUGAGGAAGAGAAAUGAAAGGAAUGAUUACAUGUGAAUCCUCCUUGCUGUUUCUUUUCUUUACUUCUUGCUCCCUGGGUAUUUUAUCCCUUUCUUUUUAAGGUACUAUUCAUGUAAGGACCUUAAAAUAAAGUUCCCUCAGGUAAUAUUUUAAAGUGACCAACAUCAUUAAUCAUCUUUUUUUUUUUACUCUAUUUGCACCUAGUUGUAGUGCACAGUUAUUUCUAAAGGAAAAUGUUUUGGGCCUUACUUUGCAUUUUAUGUUAAGAUAAAUAAAGUUAUUUGGGGAGAGGGUAAUGGUGGUAUAUCUUUCCAUCACAAGUAUAACAUGUGAACAACCAUAAACCUCUUAGAAUAAAUGGGCUGUUUAGGCAAAAUUCAUAUCUUAGGACAGCCUUUUAAGAAAUAUUUAUCAAAGAUGAAGCAGAGGUAAAUCAUUAUGAAAAAUGGAGAGUAAUUUUUUUUACAACUGUAAGAUUAUUUUAAGUUGAAUUUCAAAGUAAUUAAUAUACUUAAAAUUUCAUAGAAUCAUUUCUACUUCAGUAGGUUUUUUCAUUAUGAAAAAUAACUUCUACUGAAAAGCAAAAUGUAAUAUGGAUUAUGACUCAGUGUAUAAUUUCCAUAUUGUUUUUUAAAUUGUGAAUCAUAGGGCCUGACCCAUUAUUAAAAAUAUUAGGAAGGAAUUGAUAGUUGAAGAACAUUUGGGAUUUUGUAUGCACCUCACAUACACACACAUAAUUCUCAGGAACUUUCAAUUACACUUAUAUUAUUAGCAGGGGAUUAAAAGACUGAUACUCAUGGAACAUCUUAUUUCUAGAAGAUUCCUAAUUGAUAUCAGAUCUACAUUUACUAAAAAAUAGAAACAUAGAAUGAGGCAAAUAUUCAGAGAAUUAAAAAAGUGGUGACCCACUCACUUAUUACUAUGGAAUUUUUUAACAUGUAUGUAUGGCCUAUAAAAGUAAUUCAAAUCAAUUCCCUAAUUAACCUUGCAUUUUCAAUCAAUGUUUAAUGCCCAAUGAAACUGGUGUGUGGGGGGAAGGGUGGGGUAAAGUUCUUAAGGAUAGAGAACAUCUAAAUUUGACAAAUAAUUUAUCCAAUUUUUUAUCCAAAUGAAGGAAUUUUUAUCCCAAUGAUAUAUUGGUUUCACAUGGUACACAGAGGGAAGUUUUUAUUUGAGGUUAUGUAUUUGAUUUAAAAUAUGUUAGGAUUUAAAAAAAAAAAACUUAAGCAGUAAUCAGACUUGACUUUAUGGAUACUAUUUCUGGUAGAAUAAUAUAUACUAAAUGAUUUAAACAAAAACAUAGGUAAAUAAUAGUCUAGAGGUGGUAAAUGGCAAAAGUCAUCAAGAUGGUUUGUGAAUGACUGCAUUAUAGAAAAACUGCUAAGGCAGUCCAAUUUCUAACUUCUUUCUGGGAAAUAAAAACCAAUAAAAGGCUAACAUCCUAAAAAUCAGAGAGCAGAAGGACAAGUCAAAAGCCUGCAUAAAUGAUGAACAGAACUAUAAAAUGAUGAAAAUCAAUAGCUGGUUUAAAUUAAACAAUGGAAUAUCUCAGUUCUUCUAUUGUCCUUGCCAAUGAAGAACUAUUUACACCACCAUGAACUUGAAAGGAAAAUAGGGCUCUGAAUGAAAACCCUUUCUUCAAUGGUCUCAGCAUGCUUUUCCUAAUUAAAAUGGAAAAUUUAUUGCUAAUCAUUAUAAAGUAUGAAUAGAAAUUAUGAUUUUGGCAUGCUUGAUACUGAGACAUAAUGGCUUGGUGAGAUGAGCUAAUUCUUCUAUAGCAUCCUUCCAAUUCUAAGACCUAGGUAUACCUUGAACCACCUGGGUAAGUUUGAAAACUCCUAAAGUCCCAGAAAUUUCAGCUGAAAACUAGUCUGGCAUUUUCCCCUUUUGAUAGUUAGUUUAAUAAACCCUCCAAAUGCUUCUAUAAGAAAACCAGAAUUGAAAACUAUUGGAGUCAAAAAGAUGGGUCUCAAAUUUUAGACUUCAGAACAAUUUCCUGGAAAGUUCAUUAAAAAUGGAAAUUCAAAUCAAACACCAAUAGUACUGGAGUGGGGCCCAGAAUCUAUUUACUUAACAUGCUUCACAAAUGACUCUAAUGUGGAGGCCCAAGGACCCCUUUUUGAGAAAUACAGGUGUGGGAUUUAUUGUUUCUGUCAUUACAACCACUGUCACUCUUUGGAAUACAAAAUUGAUGUUUGAAAUGGAUGAAUUUCACCAUAAAUUGGGUAUUUCUUUUUUUUUAAUAACUCCUCUUAGUUUGUUCACCAGAACUCAAAAUGAAAUCCUGAAAAAAGCUGAAUGAUAAGGACAAUGACAUUUUAUUUGAGAAUAUCUCAAAAAGAAAGAAACUAAAAUGGUCAAGAAAACUGAGUCCAACUCUGUCAUGAAAUAUGUGACUUCAAAAAAGUAAUUGUACCUUUGUAGAAGAAAAAAAAUAUGCUAAUAGUCAAGUAUUCAUUAAAAAUACACCUUCCUUUUAAGAGAUUACAGGUCUAUUGUAACUUCCAUUUCCAUUAAAGAAGAAAAAUAGCAAAAUUAGGGAUACCAAAGAUAUUGGGUGUGAAAAUAAAUCAAUAUAAAAUUUGCUAAAUUUUUUGGACUUAUUUAUUUUUCCUCAUUUUAACGAUGAAUUCAUCAAAAGAUGAACUCUAAUGAAAACUUUUCCAAAUGUCCUUUAGGAUUAGAAUCGCUUAUAGCAUUUGUUAAAAGCAUAGAUUAUUGGCUCACACUCCAAAACUAUUGAAUACUAGGAAAUCUUUAUGAUCAUGUUAUUUGUAGAACCCUAUUCUAAUGAAUGAUGUAAAGUCUGAGACUAUAUCCAUACAGUGCCAGUACAUUUAGUUAAUUCUAUGUGAGAUGGCAAAUGCAUUCUCUUCACAUUAUUUCGCAAGGAUGAUAAGCUACACAACAAUGACAAACCAGUUGGUUCUUUAUUUCACACCUCAGUCAAGUUUCCUGACUAAGUAUUUCCAGCCAUGUAUAUUUAUCUCACUGGGCUCAUGUUGAUCCUUAUGUUCCUUGUUAUUCAGGAAUGACUACCAAUCAUAAGGUUGCUAGCUUCUGUUUCUUAAGAGGAAUGUCCUAUCUGAUGUCUGAUUGUCACAAACUAAUCAUGCCACUCAUCCUAAGUGCAAAUUUCAAGGACAUGGCUUCUGUUAGUUAAGAAAAAAUAUUUUCAUACAUUCUUUGCAGAGCAAGCCACAUCAAAGGGUUUCAAGAGAAUAGGUUUAAGUUUUUCCACACAUAUGCUAGUGACUUCCACAGCCACUGUAGGCCCUCUGACCACCAAGAGUUUUGUAAUACUAGAACAUCAAAAAAUAAUAUUCAAGGGUAGAAUUUGAGAGCUAUAGCCUUUUUUAUUUCUACACUAAACUAAAAUAGACAAUAUACCAUUUGAGCUGGAUUUAUUUUUCAGAAUGUGUUCUGGACAACAGCAAUUCAAAAUAGUCAACUUUGACCACAUAUAGUAUUGAGUAUGCCAAAUUAGCGUACAUGGGUGCAUGGAUGAGUAAGGUGUGUGCACUUUAAUUGAAAACACUAACAUUACAUUUAAAUAGCCUUAAUCAAUAGAUGUGCUACAUUAAAUAAACAGUUGUAUGAGUUCCCAAGAUAGCACACUCCAUCAGGAAAUUACCCAGUGAAUCACUUUGGCACAGGCUAAAAAUAAAUACCCAGGUUUCUGUUCAACUCACUUUUCUUUAAGGACAUGCAUUUUAUCUUAAAGGAGAGAGUCAGCUCAUUCUUGUUUUUCCCAUAAAAUUUUAGUGAUUGUUUCCAUUUCCUAUUUUUUCCAUUACGUGAUAGCCCUGAAUUAUUUAUUCAUAAAAAAUGGAGGAGGCAUUGCACUCAGCAACUAUCACAAGAAAAGCCUAUGAAAGCACCAAAGUUAUUACUAUGAGUUCCCUAUCUUUUAGUCGAUUUUAUUUUUCCAGGGCUGUGAAAUAACUAAUUUUUCAGAUUCCAUUUAAAUUAUGUGCUUAGCAAAUAACAUAUCCUCAGCAAAGCCUAACUUUAGAAAUACAGUUACUGACAGAACACUGUAAACCAGCUAUAAUGGAAAAAAAUAAAAAUCAUUAUACAAACAAAAAAAUAAAAUAAAAUAAAACUU
This 6576-nucleotide long non-coding RNA is filed under the name Sus scrofa (pig). Its description in RNAcentral is "lncRNA (ENSSSCG00000057350.1)". The record is from RNAcentral. Lineage: Eukaryota; Metazoa; Chordata; Mammalia; Artiodactyla; Suidae.